UUCUUGGUCAUUUAGAGGAAGUAAAAGUCGUAACAAGGUUUCCGUAGGUGAACCUGCGGAAGGAUCAUUAAAGAGAUAGGGUCUUCAUGGCCCGACCUCCAACCCUCUGUUGUUAAAACUACCUUGUUGCUUUGGCGGGACCGUCUCGGUCUCCGAGCGCACUAACCCUCGGGUUGGUGAGCGCCCGCCAGAGUCCAACCAAACUCUUGUAUUAAACCAGUCGUCUGAGUAUAAAAUUUUAAUUAAAUUAAAACUUUCAACAACGGAUCUCUUGGUUCUCGCAUCGAUGAAGAACGCAGCGAAAUGCGAUAAGUAAUGUGAAUUGCAGAAUUCAGUGAAUCAUCGAAUCUUUGAACGCACAUUGCGCCCCUUGGUAUUCCGAGGGGCAUGCCUGUUCGAGCGUCAUUACACCACUCAAGCAUCGCUUGGUAUUGGGAACGGUCCGUCGCAAGGCGGGCCUUCCUCGAAGACCUCGGCGGGGUUCAACCAACUUCGGGCGUAGUAGAGUUAAAUCGAACGUCUUAUAAGCUUGGUCGGAUCUCAUUGCCGUUAAACCUUUAAAU
Molecule: ribosomal RNA, 563 nt
Filed under: Sydowia polyspora
Lineage: Eukaryota; Fungi; Ascomycota; Dothideomycetes; Dothideales; Dothioraceae
Description: eukaryotic LSU rRNA
Rfam family: 5.8S ribosomal RNA (bases 252-405)
Source: RNAcentral